AUCCAGCUGAUGAGUCCCAAAUAGGACGAAACUCACAUCCUAGAU
Molecule: non-coding RNA, 45 nt
Organism: Schistosoma margrebowiei
Lineage: Eukaryota; Metazoa; Platyhelminthes; Trematoda; Strigeidida; Schistosomatidae
Source: Rfam